CCUACGGGUGGCUGCAGUGAGGAAUAUUGGUCAAUGGGCGGGAGCCUGAACCAGCCAAGCCGCGUGAGGGAAGAAGGUACAGCGUAUCGUAAACCUCUUUUGUCAGGGAACAAAGGCGGGGACUAGUCCCCGGCUGAGGGUACCUGAAGAAAAAGCAUCGGCUAACUCCGUGCCAGCAGCCGCGGUAAUACGGAGGAUGCGAGCGUUAUCCGGAUUUAUUGGGUUUAAAGGGUGCGUAGGCGGGCUUUUAAGUCAGCGGUAAAAAUUCGGGGCUCAACCCCGUCCGGCCGUUGAAACUGGGGGCCUUGAGUGGGCGAGAAGAAGGCGGAAUGCGUGGUGUAGCGGUGAAAUGCAUAGAUAUCACGCAGAACCCCGAUUGCGAAGGCAGCCUUCCGGCGCCCGACUGACGCUGAGGCACGAAAGUGCGGGGAUCGAACAGGAUUAGAUACCCCUGUAGUC
This 459-nucleotide ribosomal RNA is filed under the name uncultured bacterium. Its description in RNAcentral is "partial 16S ribosomal RNA". It matches the Rfam family "Bacterial small subunit ribosomal RNA", at positions 338 to 795 of the family's 1533-position model. The record is from RNAcentral.